GGUGACUUGGUCCCCAAGUAUCUUUUUACCCCGCUGAGUGGAGACAGGGAGCUAGAGGGAGAGGAGAAGCAGCUCUUCAGGGAUAGAGAGAGGAAAGGUAGAGGGAGAGGCCGGCGGCCGCAACUUUGUUGUUGCGGGUCUUAGGUUUAGUACUCCAGGUCGCCGACGCGCGACACUAACGUAGAAAAAACGCUGCGUCCCGACAUCGAGGCACCUGGUUAUUGUGCCGACGUAUCCUCAGCCGAUAGGCGGAAAUAUCGAGCUCCUAGACUCCUCCGAGACACCAGUAAAGUUGUACGUAAUACAUAAGGUAGAUAGAACUUCAGUAGUUCUACUGAAAGACAAGUACGAUCAACCGGACUCCUAACUAAACAUGAGAUAGCGGGCUUUACGAAAGGAGCACUUCAUAUAGAUGAUCAGCGACGACGAUUCAACUAAAAAAGCUAAGGAAAACAGAUUUGGACCACGUGUUUCCUUUGUUUAGACAUGUUCAGAUAUACAUGAAGAUGAAGCCAACAGUAAAUACGUGAACCUACGAAGCUCAUUUUUCCCAGUGAGUACACAAAUUCUUCAAUCAAGCGC
This 582-nucleotide ribosomal RNA is filed under the name Triticum aestivum (bread wheat). RNAcentral describes it as "partial small subunit ribosomal RNA". Lineage: Eukaryota; Viridiplantae; Streptophyta; Magnoliopsida; Poales; Poaceae. The record is from RNAcentral.